Long non-coding RNA from Propithecus coquereli (Coquerel's sifaka), 384 nucleotides. RefSeq lists it as uncharacterized. The transcript has 3 exons. The record is from RefSeq and is a predicted model, not a curated record. Lineage: Eukaryota; Metazoa; Chordata; Mammalia; Primates; Indriidae.
AGGCUAUAGUUUGGGAUGAGUACCUGACAGGACCGUUUGGCCUGAUUGCACAGUAUUCGCUACUGAAGGAACAUGAAGUGGAAAAAAUGUUCACACUUAAGGGAAAUCGUUUGCCAGCAGCUGAUGUCAAGAAUAUUAUUUUCUUUGUGAGACCCAGGCUAGAAUUGAUGGAUAUAAUUGCUGAAAAUGUGCUCAGCGAAGACAGACGUGGCCCAGUGAGAGAUUUCCACAUUUUGUUUGUGCCACGACGUAGCUUGCUGUGCGAACAGCGGUUGAAGGAUCUGGGUGUUUUGGGAUCCUUUAUUCAUAGGGAGGAGUACAGCUUAGAUCUCAUUCCUUUCGAUGGGGAUCUCUUAUCCAUGGAAUCAGAGGGUGCGUUCAAAG